UAGAGUUUGAUCCUGGCUCAGAACGAACGCUGGCGGCAGGCCUAACACAUGCAAGUCGAACGCCCCUUCGGGGGAGUGGCAGACGGGUGAGUAACGCGUGGGAACCUUCCCUGUGGUACGGAAUAGCUCCGGGAAACUGGAAUUAAUACCGUAUACGCCCUUCGGGGGAAAGAUUUAUCGCCAUAGGAUGGGCCCGCGUCGGAUUAGCUAGUUGGUGAGGUAACGGCUCACCAAGGCUACGAUCCGUAGCUGGUCUUAGAGGAUGAUCAGCCACACUGGGACUGAGACACGGCCCAGACUCCUACGGGAGGCAGCAGUGGGGAAUAUUGGACAAUGGGCGCAAGCCUGAUCCAGCCAUGCCGCGUGAGUGACGAAGGCCUUAGGGUUGUAAAGCUCUUUUGGCGGGGACGAUAAUGACGGUACCCGCAGAAUAAGCCCCGGCUAACUUCGUGCCAGCAGCCGCGGUAAUACGAAGGGGGCUAGCGUUGUUCGGAAUCACUGGGCGUAAAGCGCACGUAGGCUGACUGGCCAGUUGGGGGUGAAAUCCCGGGGCUCAACCUCGGAACUGCCUUCAAUACUGCCAGUCUUGAGUCCGAGAGAGGUGAGUGGAAUUC
RNAcentral lists this ribosomal RNA (614 nucleotides) under uncultured bacterium. RNAcentral describes it as "bacterial SSU rRNA". It matches the Rfam family "Bacterial small subunit ribosomal RNA", at positions 1 to 669 of the family's 1533-position model. The record is from RNAcentral.